RNAcentral lists this long non-coding RNA (448 nucleotides) under Brachypodium distachyon (stiff brome). Its description in RNAcentral is "long non-coding RNA (BDIS_LNC004972)". Lineage: Eukaryota; Viridiplantae; Streptophyta; Magnoliopsida; Poales; Poaceae. The record is from RNAcentral.
CGGCGUGACUCGCGGGCACUUGCCCGUUGGGGAAGAAGACCCUGACAGGUGGGGCAGACCUAUCAGUGGCUCUCUGCUCGAGCGUGCGCGUUGGGCUGGCUCGGGCGGCUCGGCACUCUGGUGAGUGGGCCGGUUCGGCCCAAGUUUGGCUGGGCCGGUCUGUUCUUCCCUUUUUUUUGUUCCUUUUCUUUUUCCUUUUUCUUUCUAUGAACUUUUGAUUUUGAACUACAAAUCAAACCAAAUAAAUUCUAGAAACUUUCUAAAAUCAUAUCUUUAUAUGAUUGAACUUCUGGGACUGAAUUCCCUUCAAAAUAAAAUGUUUAAAAAUACUUUUACCUAUAUAUUUGCCUUUAGGGCUUUAUAAAUAAUAAAAUAAAAUAGUUUUUCUACUCAAAUUUAAAUACCAAAGAUAUGGGGUAGUUUACUAAUGUACCCCUUUUAUUGCCAA